UCCCUGGUGGCUCAGACGGUAAAGCAUCUGUCUUCAAUGCCGCAGGCCUGGGUUCGAUCCCUGGGUGGGGAA
This 72-nucleotide transfer RNA is filed under the name Bos taurus (domestic cattle). It matches the Rfam family "tRNA". From Rfam's summary of the family: Transfer RNA (tRNA) molecules are approximately 80 nucleotides in length. Their secondary structure includes four short double-helical elements and three loops (D, anti-codon, and T loops). RNAcentral also lists the same sequence under 2 other names. Lineage: Eukaryota; Metazoa; Chordata; Mammalia; Artiodactyla; Bovidae. The record is from Rfam by way of RNAcentral.